GACGAACGCUGGCGGCGUGCUUAACACAUGCAAGUCGAACGGAAAGGCCCUGCUUUUGUGGGGUGCUCGAGUGGCGAACGGGUGAGUAACACGUGAGUAACCUGCCCUUGACUUUGGGAUAACUUCAGGAAACUGGGGCUAAUACCGGAUAGGAUCUCCUGCUGCAUGGUGGGGGUUGGAAAGUUUCGGCGGUUGGGGAUGGACUCGCGGCUUAUCAGCUUGUUGGUGGGGUAGUGGCUUACCAAGGCUUUGACGGGUAGCCGGCCUGAGAGGGUGACCGGCCACAUUGGGACUGCGAUACGGACCAGACUCCUACGGGAGGCAGCAGUGGGGAAUAUUGCACAAUGGGCGGAAGCCUGAUGCAGCAACGCCGCGUGCGGGAUGACGGCCUUCGGGUUGUAAACCGAUUUCGCCUGUGACGAAGCGUGAGUGACGGUAAUGGGUAAAGAAGCACCGGCUAACUACGUG
RNAcentral lists this ribosomal RNA (468 nucleotides) under uncultured bacterium. Its description in RNAcentral is "partial 16S ribosomal RNA". It matches the Rfam family "Bacterial small subunit ribosomal RNA", at positions 28 to 507 of the family's 1533-position model. The record is from RNAcentral.